AAUUGAUUUGAAAUCUAAUAUACCUGUUUUAUAAAUUGUAUCUACUGGUGUCUUUGGAGGUUUCCAAUUUGUUAAUUGCUGGUCAUUCCAUAUAUUUUCUCUUGAUAAAAUUGUUUGAUUAUGAUCUGUAUGAAUAUUUAAAUCAUUUAUGAGUUCGUCGUCUGGUCUCCUAGACCUAGAAGAUCUAUUUCUCCUAAACAUAUUCAUCUUAAAUUUCUAGGGUU
This 224-nucleotide long non-coding RNA is filed under the name Manihot esculenta (cassava). RNAcentral's name for it is "long non-coding RNA (MESC_LNC001121)". The record is from RNAcentral. Lineage: Eukaryota; Viridiplantae; Streptophyta; Magnoliopsida; Malpighiales; Euphorbiaceae.